UGGCCUACGGGGGGCAGCAGUAGGGAAUUUUCGUCAAUGGGCGCAAGCCUGAACGAGCGAUGCCGCGUGAGUGAAGAAGGCCUUCGGGUCGUAAAGCUCUGUUGCGGGGGAAAAAAGGCAGCAUCAGGAAAUGGGUGCUGACUGAUGGUGCCCCGCCAGAAAGUCACGGCUAACUACGUGCCAGCAGCCGCGGUAAUACGGAGGAUUCGAGCGUUAUCCGGAUUUAUUGGGUUUAAAGGGUGCGUAGGCUGUCGGAUAAGUUAGAGGUCAAAUGUCGGGGCUUAACCCCGUGCCUGCCUCUGAUA
RNAcentral lists this ribosomal RNA (305 nucleotides) under uncultured bacterium. Its description in RNAcentral is "bacterial SSU rRNA". It matches the Rfam family "Bacterial small subunit ribosomal RNA", at positions 335 to 632 of the family's 1533-position model. The record is from RNAcentral.